AGAGUUUGAUCCUGGCUCAGAUUGAACGCUGGCGGCAUGCCUUACACAUGCAAGUCGAACGGCAGCACGGGAGCUUGCUCCUGGUGGCGAGUGGCGAACGGGUGAGUAAUACAUCGGAACGUACCCUGAAGUGGGGAUAACGUAGCGAAAGUUACGCUAAUACCGCAUAUUCUGUGAGCAGGAAAGAGGGGGAUCGCAAGACCUCUUGCUUUAGGAGCGGCCGAUGUCGGAUUAGCUAGUUGGUGAGGUAAAGGCUCACCAAGGCGACGAUCCGUAGCGGGUCUGAGAGGAUGAUCCGCCACACUGGGACUGAGACACGGCCCAGACUCCUACGGGAGGCAGCAGUGGGGAAUUUUGGACAAUGGGCGCAAGCCUGAUCCAGCCAUGCCGCGUGAGUGAAGAAGGCCUUCGGGUUGUAAAGCUCUUUCGGUGGGGAAGAAAUUGCUUCGGUUAAUACCUGGAGUAGAUGACGGUACCCGCAUAAGAAGCACCGGCUAACUACGUG
Molecule: ribosomal RNA, 505 nt
Filed under: uncultured bacterium
Lineage: Bacteria
Description: bacterial SSU rRNA
Rfam family: Bacterial small subunit ribosomal RNA
Source: RNAcentral